AAGCAUCUGACGUGCGUCCAUAAGGCAAGUUGAUUAGUCAGCAAGAUUAAUAACUUCUCAAUGCGAUCUCUACUGAAUAAUGAUCAUUUAAAAAAAAAAAAUCGAUCCCCACGGACUUAGACUGAGUUGGUGCUGUACGCAGAAUCCACCAGUUCCCAACUUCCGCUUUCUGGCUUCAAGAAGAGUAGAUUCUUCUCUGUUUUCUCCACGCUACCCGCAACCGCCAGUGUAUGGCUCUUCUUCUUCUCUUCCACCUCCCCAGCUCCCGAUCACGAGACAACGCUCGAACCGAUGGCGGCGUCGCCGUGGGAAACGAAGAAUAGCUUACGAAACCCCAACCUGAAACCCUAGAGAAAGAGCCGGCCCGCUCCGUGCCUCUGAUGGCGAGAAAUACGGAGGCCGGUGAGGCCUCCCAGCGGCCGCCGCCGGACGCAGCGUCUGUCCGGAUCCGGGCGCGGGCGGACCCCUUCCUCAUCCUCUGCCGCUGCUUCAGCUUCCUCACCGCCCUUAUCGCCGUUCUCUGCGUCUUCGUCAACGCUCUCUCCGCCGUCCAAUCCUUUAAGAACGGAUCCGAUAUUUUUGGUGGGAUAUUCCGGUGCUUCGCGGUCGUAAUCGCCCUCUUCGUAGCCGUUGCCGAGACCGAAUGGAGUUUUAUAAUGAAAUUUUGGCGGAUAUUGGAGUAUUGGGCUGGAAGGGGCAUGCUGCAGAUCUUUGUCGCUGUGAUGACAAGAGCUUUCCCAGAUGUCAGCGGGCAGCGGAAAGAUCUGAUACUGCUUCAGAAGAUUGCGAGUUACCUUCUUAUGGCUUGUGGUUUGACAUACGUGAUCUCGGGUGUUUUAUGCAUCGGUUUCUUGAAGCGUGCACACCAGCAAAAGGAAAUAACACGUGAGCAAGCGGUUAGAGAUCUAGAGGGGAAGGGUUUGAAUCUUUGACCUUAGGUUAACAGCCACUAGCUCCAACUAACUAAGAUGUGGAAUGGGGAGAUGUGAGGUGCAGUAUGGAUCUAGAGUGGGGAAACAUGAGAUGUGGGAGUGGAAGGACCGACAUCAUGACAUACCUCAUGUGCAGGCACAAUGGCAGACUUGGUAUUACAUAUUAGAAUAGGAAUUGGAACGGCGCAAGGAAGAGCUUGAGGCAUUGUUAGUUGUUGACAGGGCUUGAGUGUGCGAGCAAUUGUUGCUAGAUUUAACUUUGAGCACAAUCUGAGGAGCGGACAUGGUCUGCAUUUCCAAAUUAACUUCCUAAGUUUGCUUCAUGACCUCCAUUGCUUUGGUUAAUAUGAUGGAGUUGAAAUCUCGUAAACCCUGUUUCAUGUAAGUUGUUCAAAUAAAUUAUAUGAAAGUUGAAAAUGUUCAUUGAAGAAGAUUAAUUUAACUUAUUUUUAAGUUCAAAAAGAAAAAAAGCAAUUUCACCUACUUUCUGUAGUUGUUAAAAAUUUUGAGAAUACUCUGUUCUAUGUCCAGUUUCCAGCGUGGCGAUAUAUGUGACUGUUUAUGGUGUUUGAUUUCUACCUGGAUUAUUUCUCACUGGUUUUAUUAAUCCAGCCCUUCUUGAACUAUAAUAAGUUUUAUUUUUCGGUUACUCCUGUUUGGGUGAGUUUGUCGCUGCCAAUUACCCUCCUUUUUUGGGAAAAUGUUUAUGGGAUGUAGGGAGAAAAAAGACACUGCAAAUGAGGGAAACAGGUAACUAAGUGGAGCAGAUGGAGAAACCAAGAGGAAACUACUGGAUCAAGUGAAAACUUGAGCACCAGUUGUUUGUUUCUUAUAAAAUAUGUUUCCCAUGUAGUUUCCUUAAUUAUCUGUGUUUUCAGGUGGUUUCUUGUAUUAAUUGGAGCUGAAUAGAAUUGCUUCUGGCGCACACUGUCUAAUAAUCAAGUGGACUUCCAUGACGUUACCAUCUGGCUUGGGAGAUCUUUUAGAUGAAAGAUACAAUGGUUGUGUUUUCAAUUCCUAUACCAGUAAGAUCUCUUUAUGUGUGGUUGAUGUCUUCAUUGAGUUUGAUGGUGGAAUGAUUGGCACGUCUUUGUUUCUUUCACUUUAUUGUGAUGGACAGAAAUAUGAAUUUCAUGCUUAUGAUUAACUAGUUGGAAUGACUUUGAGAGGAUUUUAUGUCCUAAAAGGUUACUUCUAGACACUUAAUAGAUUGUCCAGUCCAAUUUGAUACAGAAACUUCCAAGAUCAUUUGAUUUCUAAAGGAAUGGUCGCAUGCAUGCCAUAUAUGGAGGAGAUUGCACUCCUUUUGGAUUUUUGAUGUGCCAUUGUUUUCUUGUAAGAUGAUACUAUUAUCUGCUAUCCAUAGGAUCCCAAAAAUGCUUCAUGGCUAUUUCUGUUAUAUCAAUAAUAUUGAUAGGUUUUGGUUUGCUAAUUUGCAAAUAUUUGUUUUUCUGCUAAUAUGUGCUUACUGGUUGUUCC
Molecule: non-coding RNA, 2411 nt
Organism: Elaeis guineensis (African oil palm)
Lineage: Eukaryota; Viridiplantae; Streptophyta; Magnoliopsida; Arecales; Arecaceae
Source: RefSeq, a predicted model, not a curated record